GAUGAACGCUGGCGGCGUGCCUAAUACAUGCAAGUCGAGCGAACAGACGAUGAGCGUGCUCCUCGGACGUUAGCGGCGGACGGGUGAGUAACACGUGGAUAACCUCCCUAGAGUAAUGGGAUAACUUCGGGAGACUGGAGUUAAGACAGGAUUAUUUAUAGAGCAGGACGUUUCAAUAGUACAAGAUGGUGUUGUUGUAGAUUUUAUAUCUAUACGAUUCGCAUUAGCUAGUUGGUAAGGUAGCGGCGUACAAAGGCAACGAUGCGUAGCCGACAUGAGAGGGUGAUCGGCCACCCUGGCACUGAGACUCGGUCCCGACUCCUACAGUAGGCCACAGUAGGGACUCUUCCGCGAUGGGCGAAAGCGUGAUAGAGCACCGCCGCGUGAAUGAUGAAGCUGUUAGGACCCUAAAACUAUGUUAGUAGGGAAAAACUAAUCUGUAAGUAACUAUGAACGUCUUGAAGGUACCUAAAUAGAUAGCCACGGCUAACUACCUG
Molecule: ribosomal RNA, 497 nt
Filed under: uncultured bacterium
Lineage: Bacteria
Description: partial 16S ribosomal RNA
Rfam family: Bacterial small subunit ribosomal RNA
Source: RNAcentral